UGCUGUUAAUCUGAAGAACAAUGGCAGAUACAAACCCAGGGUGUGCCUACAUCAUAAAUUCAGACAGCGCAGAGAGUUUCUUCAGAAGUGGACUUAUCAAAGCAACAGUGUUGUUAAUUUGAAGAACAAUGGCAGAUACAAACCCAGAUAAAAUCCCUCAGUGCGAAAAGAGCAAACCAUGCCACGGUGAAGGCAAGGGUGAAGGCAAGGGUGAAGGCAAGGGAAAAGGACCAGGACAAGGGCAAGGUCAAGGCAAGGGUCAGGGUCAUGGUCACGGACACGGUCACGGACCUGGAAAGGAUGGAAAGGAUGGCAAAGGCAAACCAUAAUGAAAGGAGCUGAAUGAAGAGACGUCUGAAGUCUGUCUGAUGCUGUUGUUUUUUUUCUUGCACCAUGACUAAUAAACUAAAACAUGUAUAAUUAUACCACAUAUGUUUGUUUUUAAUUAAAUGAUCAUCAAUAAAGUGUUUGGUAUCAAAGAAUGGCUUUUAGAAUCGUU
Ictalurus punctatus (channel catfish) is the source of this 499-nucleotide long non-coding RNA. Lineage: Eukaryota; Metazoa; Chordata; Actinopteri; Siluriformes; Ictaluridae. The record is from Ensembl.